AUACGUAGGUGGCAAGCGUUGUCCGGAAUUAUUGGGCGUAAAGCGCGCGCAGGUGGUUCCUUAAGUCUGAUGUGAAAGCCCCCGGCUCAACCGGGGAGGGUCAUUGGAAACUGGGGAACUUGAGUGCAGAAGAGGAUAGUGGAAUUCCAAGUGUAGCGGUGACAUGCGUAGAGAUUUGGAGGAACACCAGUGGCGAAGGCGACUGUCUGGUCUGUAACUGACACUGAGGCGCGAAAGCGUGGGGAGCAAACAGGAUUAGAUACCCUGGUAGUCCACGCCGUAAACGAUGAGUGCUAAGUGUUGGGGGGUUUCCGCCCCUCAGUGCUGCAGCUAACGCAUUAAGCACUCCGCCUAGGGAGUACGGUCGCAAGACUGAAACUCAAAUGAAUUGGCGGGG
This 397-nucleotide ribosomal RNA is filed under the name uncultured bacterium. RNAcentral's name for it is "partial 16S ribosomal RNA". It matches the Rfam family "Bacterial small subunit ribosomal RNA", at positions 523 to 918 of the family's 1533-position model. The record is from RNAcentral.